UACGGAGGGGGCAAGCGUUGUUCGGAAUUACUGGGCGUAAAGCGCGCGUAGGCGGACCUGCAAGUCGGGGAUGAAAGCCCGAGGCUUAACCUCGGAACUGCCUUCGAUACUGCGGGUCUCGAGUCCGGGAGAGGUGAGUGGAAUUCCUAGUGUAGAGGUGAAAUUCGUAGAUAUUAGGAAGAACACCAGUGGCGAAGGCGGCUCACUGGCCCGGUACUGACGCUGAGGCGCGAAAGCGUGGGGAGCAAACAGG
Molecule: ribosomal RNA, 253 nt
Filed under: uncultured bacterium
Lineage: Bacteria
Description: partial 16S ribosomal RNA
Rfam family: Bacterial small subunit ribosomal RNA
Source: RNAcentral